AGCGAACGCUGGCGGCAGGCUUAACACAUGCAAGUCGAGCGGGCAUCCUUGUGGUGUCAGCGGCAGACGGGUGAGUAACGCGUGGGAACGUGCCCUUCGGUUCGGAAUAACUCAGGGAAACUUGAGCUAAUACCGGAUACGCCCUUUUGGGGAAAGGUUUACUGCCGAAGGAUCGGCCCGCGUCUGAUUAGCUAGUUGGUGAGGUUAUGGCUCACCAAGGCGACGAUCAGUAGCUGGUCUGAGAGGAUGAUCAGCCACACUGGGACUGAGACACGGCCCAGACUCCUACGGGAGGCAGCAGUGGGGAAUAUUGGACAAUGGGGGCAACCCUGAGCCAGCCAUGCCGCGUGAGGGAUGACGGCCUUAGGGUUGUAAAGCUCUUUUCUCCGGGACGAUAAUGACGGUACCGGAGGAAUAAGCCCCGGCUAACUUCG
RNAcentral lists this ribosomal RNA (434 nucleotides) under uncultured bacterium. RNAcentral's name for it is "partial 16S ribosomal RNA". It matches the Rfam family "Bacterial small subunit ribosomal RNA", at positions 29 to 505 of the family's 1533-position model. The record is from RNAcentral.